AGAUAUGUUUGAUAUUCUUGGUUGUUAAAUUUUAUAUUAUCACCCAGGAAUCAAACAUAUUAUUA
This 65-nucleotide microRNA precursor is filed under the name Aedes aegypti (yellow fever mosquito). Its description in RNAcentral is "Aae-Mir-190_pre stem-loop". It matches the Rfam family "mir-190 microRNA precursor family", at positions 10 to 69 of the family's 78-position model. Lineage: Eukaryota; Metazoa; Arthropoda; Insecta; Diptera; Culicidae. The record is from RNAcentral.